AGGCACCCAGAGAUCCACCAGUGCAGCUGGGACUUGACCUUAGGGCUCCAUCUGCACUGAGUGAGAGGGCCUGGGCAGUGACAGGGCAAGGCGGGCCCCCAUGCUCAUGUCCCACUCUCAGACCUGAAUAAAGCCUGUGGGAACGCCAUGGACGCCCAUGAAGCUGCCCAGAUGCACCAGAACUUCUCGCAGCAGCUGCUCCAGGACCACAUUGAGGCCUGCAGCCUCCCCGAACACAACCUCAUCACGUGGACAGACGGUCCACCCCCCGUGCAGUUCCAAGCUCAGAAUGGACCCAACACCAGCCUGGCCAGCCUCCUGUGAGGCCUUGAUGGGGCCAUCCAGCUCCGCAGGGCCUGCGCGUCUCCGGCUUCCACCCAGACGGCACUCAAGCCUGCCUUCGAGGCGUGCUUCCUUCCUGAUUGUCUCUAGAGCUUCCAAGUCCUGGGAAUGUGCGGGGCCAGUCCCUGCCCUCCCAGGAGGGGUGGCAGCCGUUCACACCUCGCACCAGGACCCCCAGUGCAGAGGCUCACAGGUGGCACACAGGCACUGUCU
RNAcentral lists this small RNA (555 nucleotides) under Pongo abelii (Sumatran orangutan). Its description in RNAcentral is "retained intron". Lineage: Eukaryota; Metazoa; Chordata; Mammalia; Primates; Hominidae. The record is from RNAcentral.